UACAGAGGGUGCGAGCGUUAAUCGGAUUUACUGGGCGUAAAGCGUGCGUAGGCGGCUUUUUAAGUCGGAUGUGAAAUCCCCGAGCUUAACUUGGGAAUUGCAUUCGAUACUGGGGGACUUGAGUACAGAAGAGGAAAGUGGAAUUCCAUGUGUAGCGGUGAAAUGCGUAGAGAUGUGGAGGAAUACCGGUGGCGAAGGCGGCCCCCUGGACAAAGACUGACGCUGAGGCGCGAAAGCGUGGGGAGCAAACAGG
Molecule: unclassified non-coding RNA, 253 nt
Filed under: uncultured Armatimonadota bacterium
Lineage: Bacteria; Bacillati; Armatimonadota
Description: uncultured Armatimonadetes bacterium contains 16S-23S intergenic spacer region
Rfam family: Bacterial small subunit ribosomal RNA
Source: RNAcentral